This 253-nucleotide ribosomal RNA is filed under the name uncultured bacterium. RNAcentral describes it as "partial 16S ribosomal RNA". It matches the Rfam family "Bacterial small subunit ribosomal RNA", at positions 524 to 776 of the family's 1533-position model. The record is from RNAcentral.
UACGUAGGGUGCAAGCGUUGUCCGGAAUUAUUGGGCGUAAAGAGCUCGUAGGCGGCCUGUUGCGUCCGCUGUGAAGGCCCGGGGCUUAACCCCGGGUCGGCAGUGGAUACGGGCAGGCUAGAGGUAGGUAGGGGAGAAUGGAAUUCCCGGUGUAGCGGUGAAAUGCGCAGAUAUCGGGAGGAACACCGGUGGCGAAGGCGGUUCUCUGGGCCUUACCUGACGCUGAGGAGCGAAAGCGUGGGGAGCGAACAGG